Molecule: ribosomal RNA, 468 nt
Filed under: uncultured bacterium
Lineage: Bacteria
Description: partial 16S ribosomal RNA
Rfam family: Bacterial small subunit ribosomal RNA
Source: RNAcentral
GACGAACGCUGGCGGCGUGCUUAACACAUGCAAGUCGAAGGGAAAGGCCCUGCUUUUGUGGGGUGCUCGAGUGGCGAACGGGUGAGUAACACGUGAGUAACCUGCCCUUGACUUUGGGAUAACUUCAGGAAACUGGGGCUAAUACCGGAUAGGAGCUCCUGCUGCAUGGUGGGGGUUGGUAAGUUUCGGCGGUUGGGGAUGGACUCGCGGCUUAUCAGCUUGUUGGUGGGGUAGUGGCUUACCAAGGCUUUGACGGGUAGCCGGCCUGAGAGGGUGACCGGCCACAUUGGGACUGAGAUACGGCCCAGACUCCUACGGGAGGCAGCAGUGGGGAAUAUUGCACAAUGGGCGGAAGCCUGAUGCAGCAACGCCGCGUGCGGGAUGACGGCCUUCGGGUUGUAAACCGCUUUCGCCUGUGACGAAGCGUGAGUGACGGUAAUGGGUAAAGAAGCACCGGCUAACUACGUG